CUUAAGAAUCCUGAGGGUUGGAAAGUGUUCAACCUCAGGGCUUCAAAGGCCUCAGCAUACUGUUUACAGAUCUGCAUAAAGGAACCUGAGGAACUCAGCGGAGAGGCCGGAACAGUUUAAUAUUUGUGCUCCUCAGUGGCAGCAGGCCAGGAUGAUAUGGAGGGCUGCCCCGGGCCCACAUUAGGGGGAGAAUAUAAGACAGGUUGCACGCCCACUGUGCAGAUGGAUUUCUUCAGUUUUUUACGAGUAUUUUCUUUUACUUUACAACCAAGAUGGUUCUGCUUUGACCCCCACCCUAAACACUGGAGACAAGGAACGUGGCCAGUUUCCCUUAUAAAUUUUCUUCAUUAUCACAUUCCUUGGAGUCCUUCUUAUCUCACCUGCUUAGAACAAGUCUUUCUAGGCACUGAUUAGUGUUUAUCCCAACAGAAAGGAACAUAGAGAUCACCUAGCCUGUUGUAAAAGUCCCUUUUCAACAUUUCUGGCGUAAGUCACUCAUUAUCUGCUUGUUCAGAUGGGGUGAACUCACUAAUUCACAAGAACCUUAUUCUAGUUUUAAAGAGCUUAAAUUGUUGGAAAUCUAUUCCUUAUUGUAGAGACAAAACUG
Molecule: long non-coding RNA, 607 nt
Filed under: Marmota monax (woodchuck)
Lineage: Eukaryota; Metazoa; Chordata; Mammalia; Rodentia; Sciuridae
Source: RNAcentral